CCCCGACGCUACAGCGCGCAAAUCAAAAAUUGAUAGGUGCUAAAUGAUGCUGAGAUAAGAACGAAUACUAUGGGCGAGAUCUCACCGGAUUUUAUGCUGCGUAGACACCCGCCACGGUGGUAUGCCGGUCUGAGAUGGAGAUCUGGCGCCGGCGAGAAAUUGCGGCGCGACAGCUCUAGCUCUGAGGGUAGCAAGGUCACCGGUACUAUUGGGAUGCCCCAGCAAUCCCCCAAGCCCUGUGUUGAGACCCCGACGGCAGUGAACAUGUGGAUUGGCGCCAGCGGCCAACAUCCCACUCUCUGUUCUCUCUCCCUACGUGAUUUCUGUAAACACGGCGCCGAUUCUUCAGCUCUCUGGUAUGGUGGCGCCGGAGUAGUUCAUGAG
This 384-nucleotide unclassified non-coding RNA is filed under the name Zea mays. RNAcentral describes it as "misc RNA Zm00001eb048380". The record is from RNAcentral. Lineage: Eukaryota; Viridiplantae; Streptophyta; Magnoliopsida; Poales; Poaceae.